GACGAACGCUGGCGGCGUGCUUAACACAUGCAAGUCGAACGGAAAGGCCCUGCUUUUGUGGGGUGCUCGAGUGGCGAACGGGUGAGUAACACGUGAGUAACCUGCCCUUGACUUUGGGAUAACUUCAGGAAACUGGGGCUAAUACCGGAUAGGAGCUCCUGCUGCAUGGUGGGGGUUGGAAAGUUUCGGCGGUUGGGGAUGGACUCGCGGCUUAUCAGCUUGUUGGUGGGGUAGUGGCUUACCAAGGCUUUGACGGGUAGCCGGCCUGAGAGGGUGACCGGCCACAUUGGGACUGAGAUACGGCCCAGACUCCUACGGGAGGCAGCAGUGGGGAAUAUUGCACAAUGGGCGGAAGCCUGAUGCAGCAACGCCGCGUGCGGGAUGACGGCCUUCGGGUUAAACCGCUUUCGCCUGUGACGAAGCGUGAGUGACGGUAAUGGGUAAAGAAGCACCGGCUAACUACGUG
RNAcentral lists this ribosomal RNA (466 nucleotides) under uncultured bacterium. RNAcentral's name for it is "partial 16S ribosomal RNA". It matches the Rfam family "Bacterial small subunit ribosomal RNA", at positions 28 to 507 of the family's 1533-position model. The record is from RNAcentral.